UCCAGACUCCUACGGGAGGCGGCAGUGGGGAAUAUUGCACAAUGGGGGAAACCCUGAUGCAGCGACGCCGCGUGAGUGAAGAAGUAUUUCGGUAUGUAAAGCUCUCUCAGCAGGGAAGAAAUAGCGACCUUUGGGUCGCCAGACGGUACCUGACUAAGAAGCCCCGGCUAACUACGUGCCAGCAGCCGCGGUAAUACGUAGGGGGCAAGCGUUAUCCGGAUUUACUGGGUGUAAAGGGAGCGUAGACGGCAGCACAAGUCUGAAGUGAAAUGCCGGGGCUUAACCCCGGAACUGCUUUGGAAACUGUGCAGCUAGAGUGCAGGAGAGGUAAGUGGAAUUCCUAGUGUAGCGGUGAAAUGCGUAGAUAUUAGGAGGAACACCAGUGGCGAAGGCGGCUUACUGGACUGUAACUGACGUUGAGGCUCGAAAGCGUGGGGAGCAAACAGGAUUAGAUACCCCCGUAC
RNAcentral lists this ribosomal RNA (464 nucleotides) under uncultured bacterium. RNAcentral describes it as "bacterial SSU rRNA". It matches the Rfam family "Bacterial small subunit ribosomal RNA", at positions 330 to 793 of the family's 1533-position model. The record is from RNAcentral.